Molecule: long non-coding RNA, 3066 nt
Organism: Felis catus (domestic cat)
Lineage: Eukaryota; Metazoa; Chordata; Mammalia; Carnivora; Felidae
Exons: 2
Source: RefSeq, a predicted model, not a curated record
AGCUGCAACAGACAAAUCGCCGAGGCGGGGGAGACGUUCAGGGCAUCGGGAUGCUGAAGCCUUGGGGUCCCCAUUCCCGAGCCCAGCCCGCGCGCCGCCUGAGCGUGGCGCAGUUACUUUGGACAUAACAGAUACCAGCCCAACACAGAGGGGAAGAGAGAAAAGGCCUGGACAGCAAGAAAGGACAUAACAUUGUAUCCAUCACAAAUUAAAAAUGCCUUAUCUCAGCUACAUCCAACAGGAUUAACCAAACACCAGCUCUGGGCUCCACACUACGGUAGACCCUGCAAAGGCCACGAUAAAGCGUCAGCACUGUGUCCUCCGGGAAAAGUUACACCGUCCCUCAGGAGGGAGACAUCAAGUGCCUAUAGCAGAAGUCAGCAAACUUUCCAUUAAGUGACAGACACUAAACAUUUCAGGCUCUGUGAGACAGAAAGGCAAAAGAAAGUAAAUUUCCACAAAAUUUACUGACAAAAGUUAAUAUUUAUAGACACUGAAUUUAAAUUUCAUGUAAUAUUCACAUGAAACAAAAUACUACUCUUCUUUUGAGUUUUUCAACAAUCUAAAAGUGCAAUAGCCAUUCUUAGCCUACAGGCUGCAUAAAAACAGGCAGUGGGAUCAGAUUAGCCCCGUGGGCCGUAGUUUGCCAACCCCUGAGGAAUAAGACAAAAGCAAGCACAGAAAAUGGCUGGGGAUUAGCCUGCAAAAUGAACGACACCAAGACAGAAGUCCAGAGAGGUGAGAGGUGCGGUGGGGUGGGGUGGGCUUGUCCAGUCAGGAAGACUUAAUGGAAGGGAUGGGAUUUGAGCAGAGCCUUUAAGGGAGGGUAGGAUUUGGCUGCAUAAAACAGACUGGGAGAACAUUCCAGCAGAACCGAUGAGCAUGAGGCAAAGGCACAGAGGGAGGAAAGAUCAUGGGCCAAAGGAGCCCUAUGAGGUGUUUCCCCAUCCUUCACUGUGACACACCUCUAGCUCUCCAAGGCUUCUGUGACACACCCUGGGCUGGGUGCUUAUGAAGGGGAGGGGUCCCGUGGGCCUGUGGGAGGAGGCCUUUAAAUGACCAUGAUUAAUCAUAUUAUAUGAAUAUUUACAGUAUUCAUCACCCAAAAUUGUUGGAAACACUGAGAUCCAUCAGAUCUGUAGUUUAAAAUUGAUAGAGGACAAACACACGAGGCUUUGUUUCUCUUCGUCAGGAGAGUUCCAGGUUUCAAUUAGUCACCUAUCUUAAGGAAGUUCAAUGGACAACGAGCUUUCCUCAGGAUCUUAAUAAUAUUCUAAUCAUACCAGGAAAUGCCACAUGGCCUAACCCAAGUUUCCAUGGCCAAUCUCAAAGUUUUAAUCAAGUUAGGAAUGGCAAGUAGCUUUCCUUGGUGACAUUUACCUUUUUCUACAUGUUUUUGUUUCUACUUGCAACUUGAAUUUUCUCUAAGAAGUUAGUAAUUCAUGGAUACUAGUAAAUGGUAGAUACCUUGAAAAAAAUGUUCUUCCUGGAUGACUUUAUCUAUUCCCAUGAUUUCACCUCCUGCUCAUAAAAUGCUACUAAUUCCCAGAUCUGUAUCUCCAGCCCAGAUACCUCCCUAGAGGUUCAAAUUUAGCAGUCCAAGUUCCUGCUGGGUGUCUCCACCUCAUCCUCCCACAGGCUGGGCAGCAGCCUCCAAGAUCACCCCCAAAGAUCUCCACCUCUUGGUACUCACGCCCUGGGGUAAUCUCCUUCCCUUGAGUAUGGGCUAGACCUAGUGACUCACUUCUAGCAGCUACAGGGUGGCAGAGUUGAUGAGAUGUCACUUCUGAUACUAAGUUACAGAAAGACUCUGGAUUCCAUCUUUCUUGCCCUUUCUUGCUCUUCUGCUUGCUCAUGUUGCUGGAAGCCAGCUGUUAUGUUCUGAGCUGCCCUAUGGAGAGACCCUGUGGCAAGGAACUGAGAGACGCUGACAGCAAGGGAAGACCUAAAGCCCUCAGGACAACAGCUCCGGAUGAAGCCACUUCUACUAACAACCAUGAAGACCUUGGAAGUCUUCAACAGAGACUACAACCCCAGCCAACAACUUGAUUGCAGCUGUGAGAGACAUGGAUCCCAAGACACACAGCUAGGCAGUACUCACAGUGAGCCACAGAAACUGAGAUAAUAAAUGUGUGGUGUUUGCAGCCACUAAGUUUUGAGGUAAUUUAUUCCACAAAAAUACAUAACUGAUGCAUCAGCAAACUUCCUAAACCUGUUCCUACCCCUAAAUUUUCUGCUUCCGUUGCCAAGAUCACCAUGCAUCCACUCACCUAGGUUGACAAUAGGUUUGUCAGACACCCUUCAUUUGUGUUUCUUAUAUCUACAAAAGCUCAAAUGCUUUCAUAUUUUUCAAUCACAAUAGGUAUGACUUAGUAAGCCGAAAAUUUGCCUUCUGUUCCAUUUGGAAAUCAAGCUAUUUGUGCAACAUAACAUGCUGCAGCAGGAACUUGCUGUAUUUCUAUGUGAUUUUCUGCUAGCAACAAUAUUAAUGACAUCAUACUAGAUAACUUUCCACAGAUAACCAACCCCUGGGAAGUGUCUAGAGUGAUAGAAUGGGAGAAGAGAGAGUCUGGGAAACUCUAGAGAACAAUGCCUAUAGCUUGAAAGUCAACCACAGAAAUAGGGAAAGAACAAGCAUGGAUUAAAAGACAGACGUGGGUCCUGGUCUGGUCUAUGCUACUAAUCUGCUGUGUCCUUGGCAACUCACUUGCCUUCCAGGAGCCUCAAUUUCCUCUUCAAGAAAAUGAGGGGGUUAUAUUUCAAUGAAGAGCAGAACUAUGGAUGGGUUGCUUCAAGUUGAACUAAGAAGCUUGUCAAACUUCAGAUUCCUGUCCCUGAUACUCACACCAUGCUGAUUCAGUAGGUCUGAGAUGUGGCCUAGGUAUCUGUAUUUCUAAAGCGACCAGCUCACUGAAGUAUAUCCAGGUAUAGAAAUCCUGAAUUUGAUGCUCUCAAAGGAAAUUUACAAUACUAAUGUUAUAAUUACUAAGCAGUGUAUACUGUAUGCAAAUUCUACUUUGUAUGUACUUUCUAAAACAUACAAAAAAUUAAAAAUUUAUAGGAUUA